AUUAGUGCUGACUGUAAGGAUAUGAAAUAGUUAAACUCUUUUUGCUUUAUAUGCUAACCCUGAAAAUAUACACACUGAGAAUCUUGUUAAAGCACAUUUGUAGUGUCCAUGUCUUUAUUGCAAACAAUGAUUCUCCAUCAAUUGGGUGAUUGUCUAUAUUGGGGACACACUUUGGUAAGUUAGUAGUGUGUCCACCCUGAGUCAGCAGUAUGGAAAUGUAAGUUCAGG
Molecule: non-coding RNA, 228 nt
Organism: Pelobates cultripes (western spadefoot toad)
Lineage: Eukaryota; Metazoa; Chordata; Amphibia; Anura; Pelobatidae
Source: the annotation of a GenBank genome assembly